Chryseobacterium indologenes NBRC 14944 is the source of this 97-nucleotide non-coding RNA. Lineage: Bacteria; Pseudomonadati; Bacteroidota; Flavobacteriia; Flavobacteriales; Weeksellaceae. The record is from Rfam.
GGCUUAUAAAGAAAGACGGAGGGAACUGACCCUGAGAAGUCUUAACAACCUGCGUUGUGUAAGGUGUUACAUUCAGCCUUUAAUGGAAAAAUAAGCA